CCUACGGGCGGCAGCAGUGAGGAAUAUUGGUCAAUGGACGAGAGUCUGAACCAGCCAAGUAGCGUGAAGGAUGACUGCCCUAUGGGUUGUAAACUUCUUUUAUAUGGGAAUAAAACGUUCCACGUGUGGGAUUUUGUAUGUACCAUAUGAAUAAGGAUCGGCUAACUCCGUGCCAGCAGCCGCGGUAAUACGGAGGAUCCGAGCGUUAUACGGAUUUAUUGGGGUUAAAGGGAGCGUAGGUGGAUUGUUAAGUCAGUUGUGAAAGUUUGCGGCUCAACCGUAAAAUUGCAGUUGAAACUGGCAGUCUUGAGUACAGUAGAGGUGGGCGGAAUUCGUGGUGUAGCGGUGAAAUGCUUAGAUAUCACGAAGAACUCCGAUUGCGAAGGCAGUUCACUGGACUGCAACUGACACUGAGGCUCGAAAGUGUGGGUAUCAAACAGGAUUAGAUACCCGUGUAGUC
RNAcentral lists this ribosomal RNA (460 nucleotides) under uncultured bacterium. Its description in RNAcentral is "partial 16S ribosomal RNA". It matches the Rfam family "Bacterial small subunit ribosomal RNA", at positions 338 to 795 of the family's 1533-position model. The record is from RNAcentral.